GAUGAAGAACGUAGCGAAAUGCGAUAAGUAAUGUGAAUUGCAGAAUUCAGUGAAUCAUCGAAUCUUUGAACGCACAUUGCGCCCGCCAGUAUUCUGGCGGGCAUGCCUGUUCGAGCGUCAUUUCAACCAUCAAGCCCCAGGCUUGUGUUGGAGCCCUGCGGCUGCCGCAGCCUCCCAAAACCAGUGGCGGGCUCGCUAUCACACCGAGUGCAGUAGUUUACUCUUCGCUCAGGGCGUGUGGCGGGUGCUAGCCGUGAAACCCCCAACUUCUCAAGGUUGACCUCGGAUCAGGUAGGAAUACCCGCUGAACUUAAGCAUAUCAAUAGCGGAGGA
This 333-nucleotide unclassified non-coding RNA is filed under the name soil metagenome. RNAcentral's name for it is "partial contains 5.8S ribosomal RNA, internal transcribed spacer 2, and large subunit ribosomal RNA". The stretch from base 1 to 120 matches the Rfam family "5.8S ribosomal RNA", at positions 35 to 154 of the family's 154-position model. The record is from RNAcentral.